Molecule: non-coding RNA, 3404 nt
Organism: Meleagris gallopavo (turkey)
Lineage: Eukaryota; Metazoa; Chordata; Aves; Galliformes; Phasianidae
Source: RefSeq, a predicted model, not a curated record
AGAACUGUUAGGUGAGAAGAUGAAAAAUUCAUUGUACUCUGCAGAGAAGAAAGACCACUUUCUUUGUGUGAACGGCAGAACAGCCCCACGGCAAGAUUUGUAGGGUCCACGCAUUGGAGAUAAUGGAGGUCCUUGCUGUGAAAAAAGGGGAACAGAGAUGCAAGGCUUGCUCCUGCUGGACAGUGAUCACCAUCAUACAAGUGAAAUUGUUAUCCUAUUGCUUUACAAGAGAAGAUGAUGGCUGUACCACGAGACACAAGGGGCCUGAGAAAAGAAGAAAGCUCUCUGGCCCCAUGCCUUCCUGCAGUGCAGCAGUGAUGCUCUUCUGGCAACCAGACACUCAUUUCACCGUGUUGUUCAUCUCCCCAAGCUGGUUACCUUUCUGGUCUCGUUCACUUUGCACCUUCCCUCUUCCUCAACUCUUGAUUGCCUGUGUUGAGGUCAUUACUUUAUUAACGUGCACCUUAUUUCAAUAUGCUUGUACCACUCAUAAUGUCAUUAUUCCAUCACAAGACAUCUUGUUAUGGCCAUUGCAGUGUAGUAGAGACUUUCUUCUGAUGUGAUAAAGAAAAAAAGAAGAUUUAGUACAUUCCCGUUUCAGGGAGAGCCUGAUUUAUACACUUUUAAUUGCUACAAUGAAAAAUAAGGGAGAAAAUGUGGAAUUGAGAAAAGAUCUAGGAGCUGAUGAAAUCAGUACAUAGGUUGGAGUGUAGAAAAGCUCAUUAAACUCUGAUGAGUGAACAUGAUUUUAAACAUAGAUGUUUUGAAUCUGUAUAGAGUACCAAAUUUCAGUUUUUGAGAGAGAAGCAAAAUAAAUACGUACAUGCAUAUUGAUAUAAAAUGGAUACUUUAAGAGGCUGUAAUGCAUUCUAUGGAACAAGGAAGUUAUCAAAAAUUAGCCAUUUGAAAGAGAUAGCUGAAGUGUAAAAAGGAGCAGCACUAGAAUUCUUGUUAGCAGUAAGAGCAAUGGUAGCUGAUGCUAGUUUCCUUGGACCAGUUGCUGCUGGGAACAAUUGCCCUGGUUGUCUUGGAGGAAACAUCACAAGUUCUGAUCAGAUGAAGCUGGAUGUGUUCUUCAGAGGUGACUGUACAGCAUGGACAGCUGAGUGAAAGGAAUGGUAAUCUCACACAUCCAAAGAAUUAAAUGCCUUUCAAACCUGAUGGCAGUGCUGUUACUCUAAAUGUUGAUAGGAAGAAUCGCCACUUUUCAUCGUGGAGAAUCCUAAUCUUGCUCUGCAUGAAGAAUGUAAAGUGAAGUAUUAUGGCAUAGUUAGACAUUGAGGCUCUAAUUUUGAUGAGCCCAUGAAAUAGGCUGUUAAAUGACUACAUUUGUUUGAAUCUUGACAAUGGCAUGUAGGGGUAAUUUUGAAUUUCUGAUGCUGUGAAGAAAGGAUCUGUUACCAUACAUGCAGAAUAUUAGUGACACAUCUGAACUUUUAAUGAGUAUAAUUGACAUGGAGAAAAAUACCCACAUCCAUAUAGAUAUAUGAAGAAUAUGCUUUGGCUGCAAUGCAUGGCUAAGAAGACAAGAGAGCAGCAAUUAGUUUUCUGGAUCAAAACGAAUGGGUUCUAAGUAUAAAAUAGAAAUGCACUCUUAGACUUACAACAACAGCGGUUACUAAGAGCCAUGAGAGACCUUUGAUUGGAAGGUGGACACUGAUUCAGCUCAGUUUGGCUCUAAAUGUGAAGCACAUUUCCUGGAGUUGUGGAGCAAAACUUGUCUUUUCUGGUAGAGAAGCAGGAACCUAGAAGGACUUCUGAGACUAAGCAAGCCUGUAAUGCUUCUCAUACCUCCAUGGAAAUAUGUCUCCUGGGAGCUUCAGUUUCUCUGGGGGUUGUUCUUAGCAUGUGCACACUUCAUUUAAUGUCCCUGACUAAACAGUCCUCUGCUACUUUUAGGAAUGAGGUUUAUCUUCUAAUUUUAGAAGAGCCCAGGCACACAAGGCAGGAAUUCAGUGAUUUUCUGUGAUUCCAGAUAAUGAUGUCAUACUGACUUGGAGCUUUCUGUGCUGGAUUGGGAGGUGAGGGAACUAGCACAAAUUUUCUGAUAUUUUUCCCACGGUAAUUGAAGAUUCUACUUGGAACUUUGCAGAUUGAACAGUAGAAUGUGAAAUAGCCAGAGGCACAGCUGGCCCUGAGAGACAGUCUCAUACCAUCAAGUAAAGGGAACAGACUUCACAUCAGGUUAAAAGCAUAAGUAGUGCUCUUGUCUCAAGGAGAUUCAGUAGCAUUUCCAUAUCUACGAAAGUAGGUCAUCUGGCUCUGAACUUCCUGGAUUCAUCUUUUCUGGAAAUUAAAAGAGCAGCAGUUGGAAGAACCUGGGACUACAGGUAUUCCAAAUCAAAGCCACCAUUUAUCCAACAUGGUUGGAAUAACCCACCUUCUGCUUGAUCUGGCCAGAAUGCCACAAAGCGUUCUGAAUUAUCCUGGAGGUGGAAGCAGCAGAUGAUGCCAUGCACAGAGCUGGCAGUUGGACUUCUGGUCCUUCUGUGAUGGAUGGGAGCUGGACUUGCUUCUCAUUCCCAAAAGCAUUUACCGUCUCAGUUGUGAACUUGGACUUUUUAAAAUGGAAAAUCAAAAUAUUUUCUUCUCAAAAUUGCUGGCUUCUUUCUUCUGCACUCAGACUGUUCCUAUUCUUAUGCUUUUAACUAGUCUGUUACUGUGAUAUAACAUCUCAUCAUAACAACUUUUAGAAGCUAAGGAGUAUGAAGGCUUAUAGAUUAAUACAAGCUGGUAGAGGUGUUUUGUCAGUAAGGAAUUAGUGAGCAGAUGUUCUGUGAUACCUUCUGUACUCAGUGGUGUUGAUACUUGCAGAACUGUCCUUGCUGUUGAUGAUCACAGCAGCCCUUUUCGUGCUGAGUUCCUUUGAGUGUCACUGGGAUGUAGCUCAUGACAGCAGAGCAAAUAACUUCUAUAAACAAAUAUUUUAAAGUCCAUUAUCUGUGAUGCCUUAAACUAUUCCUUUCCCCUCCAUAGCAGAAUUCCUACUUCAACUUUACAUAAACGUGUCGAUUUUUUUAUUGGUUGUGAUCAGAGUUAAUAACAUCCUGAGCCAGUGUCACAUUUACUGACGCUAUUUAACCAUAUUUCCUUCAGUUUUGGUAAUAAUUCAGAACAAACCUGUCUCACUGUUUUUCAGAGUGAAAUGUUAUUCAGAGUCUCCUGUGCUGUUGGUUGUAAGAUGGAAUGAUAAUGAAUUGUCAUUAUGCUAAAUUCCCCCACUCAUAUUUAUUUAAAACUCACUCUCUUCUUAAAUGAUUUUCCUUGGUGUCAAACGCGGAUUAGUCAGAUGUGAGAGCAAAGAAGAGAUCUUCUAGGUAACUGCAAGAAGCUAUGUCCUGCUGUUCAGCAUUGACCAACCAACUUUGGUAGCUGGUACAUUUUGUGUAAAAUGCUGAGCAAAA